AUAUAUAUAUAUAUAUAGUUGUUCUUUUUUACACAAUUUCAAUGAUUAGGGGCUGAAGCUUUUAAAGCUUUAAGAAAGUCAAACUUAUACAAUUUUUUUUUAUUUUAAUACUUCGACUACAGUGUAACCAGAUCAGUGAGUUGAUCUCGAGAACCAAACAGGACUGAUUCAUGAAGAAUCGAUUGGGGAUGCGUUUUUCAAAAGCAUUUCAAGCGUAGUUGAAUGUUCCAUUGUUACCAACACCAUUUCCUGCUGUUACCAGUUAAACGUUGAAUGUUUUCAUGAAAAUACAGCUCCAAAAAAAAUUAUCAAACAGCUUCACAAAGCUGUUUGGUGGGAACUACUGCCUUUAACCUGUGAUUAGAAGUGAAGUUUUUUGUUAGUAUGAUGUGACAUACAAAUGAAAGUCUUCUAGUUUUUCAAGGAAAUUAAAAAAGUUGAUGUAAAAAGGAAUCAAAUAUCUGGAAAUUAACCCAAACAACAGAGGACAAAAGUAAAAGCAAAGUUGUCCUCAGUUCACAUGUUCAUUAUAUGAAGCAAUAAUCUUACAUAAUUAGCAGAAGUUAUUACUGCACCACCUGCAUGACGUCACUAACGACAAAGUUACUACGGUUUCAGUUAAUUUCACUAGUGAUGCACCAUACUGUGGUAGUUAGCCAGCAAAUUACAUUGGAAAUACACCCCAGACCACUCUGAAUUGAUUGAAAAACUAAUUCAUUCACAGUUAACGACCAAUAGGAUUUUGGCCGAUUCUCACAGUUAGUCGAUUAGCAGACUUGCAAUGUAGCACACAAGUUGUAUAGAUCACUUUUCCUACACUUUUAUGGUGGUUUGAAAGCUUGAAAGCAGCAGUCCCGUAAAUGCAUGGAAAAGAAAGACCAGCACAUUUUCAAAAGUUCUCCUUUUGUGUUCCACAAAAUAGUCAGUCAUACAAGUUUGGAACAACGUGACAAUGAGAAAUUUAGAGAAUUGUUUUGAGCUUCAAAAUAGUUUAUUAACAAAUUAACCUACACUAAAGAGAACAGAAAAAGAGAACAUUAUUCUCCCGUUUUUACUGUAAAACUAUAUAAUGUGAGUCACAGUGUUGUGCAUUAUGAUGUUUCACAGGCCAUUUUGGAAAUAUAUCCUUUUUUUGUACCUCCUACUCUAAUGGAUUUGGCUCUUGGGCUUGUGCUGAGGUUUUCCGUUCGAACAGGACAUCAUGGUGCUUGUUCUCCAACCUUUGUCUGUUGUCUCAAGCUUUUCCAAAGAUUAAUCAGGAUAACAUAGAUACAGUUUUACUAAGAAUUGCCUUUUUCAAAGGAAAACCACCCACCAGCAACCUCCUGUGCAAGCCCAGGCAUUACUGUACUCAAUACACCAAACAGGAAAAGACAGGAAUCUUUAUAGGCAAGUUUAGUACGGACAGCUGUCAUUCAAAUGAGGUAAAUACUUUGGCAAAACACGAUGGCAACUAAUAAUUAUGUAGUCUAGGGGCUUAAAUGUCGAUACAAAUGAGUCUAAGAUGUACUUAAUUGUUGUUUUUUUUAAGGUGGUUCAAUCACAUUUUGUGACCACUAUACAAGGAUGCUAAUAUUAGCAUGGACUGACAAUGCAGUAGUGUAAACAACUUGCAAAACUUCAACCUGCUGUUUUUACCUUCAUCUCAUGUUUUGUGAGGGUAAACAAUCCUCAUGCCUUCAUCUCAACUGUCCAUGUUUACAGAAAACUCCGGAAUGCAUUAAGCUGUAAGAACUAUGAACUGAUGCCACAGUUAUCAGUCAUGGCUGUUUAUAUCCCUCUUCUCUGUAGAGUAUGUAUCAUAAGUCUUCCGGUUGCUCUGACGCAGAUGAUUUCCUUAAACUGCAUUCAUUUGGACACUAUGAGGGCUUUUGUCCUACUUCAUAGAGACUUUCCUGCAUAAUAUUUAACUAAAAGCUUUUUUGCAAAAGUAGGCUACUACAGAGCAUUAGCAUUUGCAACAAGUUAUCAUGAGUACCUCAGUUCGUAAAAAUCCAGGCUUCUACAGAGACUUAUUGUUUAUUGUAAUACAUUCAGGGUCUACAGUGUCAAAGCCAUGGUCUUAAUACAGGAAAGUCUUUAGUAGUGAAUAAUAACCAGAAAGUAUUUAAACUACACCUGCAUUUAUCUUCCCUGAAAGGCCUACAACAGCUAUCCUGUAUAUUAAGUGGAUCAUUUGUAUGUGUAUAUGCUCUUGUAUUCUUGCUGAUGUUGUGGUAAAAAUCUGGACUCAAUCUUUCAGAACUUUAGAAACGAGUUAGGAAGUCAUCUUGUUCAUGAAUGUUUUAAUGUCCUGAGGGGACAAUAUACAUGUUUUAUUUUAUGUCUAAGUGUACUUAGUAAUGCAGCUAUUAGUGAUUACAUAUUUUAGGAUUAGCAUAAAUGACCACGAUUGAUUUUUAUAGGAACAUAAAAACAUUAGUUAACAUUCUUCAGCCUUGACAUUUGUACUAACACAGAGAGUGCAAAUGGCUGCUGCCGUUUACAAACACUUGAACUAUAAUGAUGGCUGAUUUUAUACCAUUUUACUAGUGAAUUUUGUUUAUUUAUUCCUGCUCAUUCCGAGAGUACCACCUCCCAUCUCCGUCAGUGAUCCAGCUCAGGUUAGGAAGGUGUAUUACAGUGUCAUUCACAGUUUAACUCGAUACAUAUUAAAACAUUUUCAUGUUGAAUCUACAGAAUGGAAUGUAAACUACAGAUAUACAUUUGAAGGUUGGCGUCAAUGUAAUAUCAGACUUGUAUUUAAAUGUAUUUCCCUCAUAUAGCAAUUAAAUUGGAAGCUCUGAAUGAAAUAAUGAAAUAUAAAAAUCAACUACCUGUCUGCAAUUACAGUAGGUGUCUGCUUGGAUUAUCUCUUGGAUUAGCUCAUCUCUGCUUUUGAAAUGUAAAUGAAAGGAAAUCUUCAAUCAAUCAGGUUGUGAAAUGCACUGAUUUUGUUCUUUUGUCUCCCCCCUUGUGUGUCCCAUGGACAUGAUUAUGGAGUUUCUGAAUGCUUCUUCCAUUCAUAAAGUAACACUUCAGCCAAAAAAUUAAAAAAUCUGUCACUAUUUACUCAGUCUUAUAUCGCUCCAAACUUGUAUGUUGUUAUUUUUGUCCAUGUAGCGUACUUCACAUUUGAACAGUUGUGCCGUGCUAAAAUUUUUUUACCUAAUUUGAUGUUCCAGACAUUUAAAAAUUGCUUAUAAAUCUCUUAUUUUAGCUAUAUUAUAGCUAUAUUAUCGCACCAUAAACAUCAUACAGUAGUUUAUAUAGCAUCUUAAUCAUCAUAGUCUUUAUGACUUGUGCACUAAGUUCCAGAUCUAUCCAUACUGUGAACUAGUGUUGUAUUGAGUAGAAAAGCGUAUACGUUUGAGAAUGAAAACAGAAUGAGUAAAUAAUGACUGCAUAUUAUUAUUUUUUAAGAACUGGAAUACAAACACAGCUGUCUGUCAUUGGAUAUUUAAGGAAGGAGUGUAACAUGGAUUGUAUUAAUGAAAUGUCCUAUUGAUUUAUUUUUUUUUCCUCUUCUCCUAAUUUGUGUUGUACAGCUUGUAUGAGCUUUAUGUGUGAUCUUUUACAACCGUUAAUGGAAAAGCAUGUCUUAAAGCUGUGAUUUAAUUUGUUUCGUUCAAACCUUGUUAGUGUAUCUACUCACUGUUGUGAUGCAUUCAAAAACUCUUUGAUGAUUAUGUUGCACUUUAUUGCCCUUUGGGUUUAGAUAUUAAAAGAAAUUGUAAAAGCAUCCUGUUUCUUAGAGCUGGCUUUCAACUCAUUUAAAAAGAAGUGUAACUUUUGAGAGAUUUAUUUAUUUAUUUAUUUAUUUAUUUAUUUUCAGUUUUCAAGAGCCUGGCAAAAUAAAAUAUAUUAUUAUUAGUGCUG
Molecule: long non-coding RNA, 3858 nt
Organism: Cyprinus carpio carpio
Lineage: Eukaryota; Metazoa; Chordata; Actinopteri; Cypriniformes; Cyprinidae
Source: Ensembl